GCCAAGCUGUCCGUCCAGGAGCCCUACCGUGGUCAUGAUCAGGUUCGCACCGCCAAUGGAGCAGGAUCGGGACACGAGGGACGUGCUGCUUAGAGGCCGACUCCGCCACGGCCUAUAUGCGCUUGAUGCGCCCCAUGUGCUCACUUCGCCGCCUACUCCCUAGGUGUUCAGUGGCGUUCGCGUGUCGUCUUCGCAUUGGCAUGCGCGUCUUGGUCACCCUGCUGCCCCUAUAGUUCGGCAUGUUCUUCAUCGCCAUGAACUUCCAGUUGUGUCUAAUAAAAUAGCUGCCACCGUCUGUGAUGCCUGUCAGCAAGGCAAGAGUCAUCAGCUUCCGUUUUCAGAGUCGAGUCGUGUAGUGAAACAGCCUCUUGAGCUUGUGUUUUCUGAUGUAUGGGGGCCUGCCCAAACGUCUGUCAGUGGUCACAAUUAUUAUGUCAGUUUUA
Long non-coding RNA from Lolium perenne, 443 nucleotides. RefSeq lists it as uncharacterized. The record is from RefSeq and is a predicted model, not a curated record. Lineage: Eukaryota; Viridiplantae; Streptophyta; Magnoliopsida; Poales; Poaceae.